UACGUAGGCAGCAAGCGUUGUUCGGAGUUACUGGGCGUAAAGGGCGCGUAGGCGGCUUGGCAAGUGGAAGGUGAAAUCCCUCGGCUUAACCGAGGAACUGCCUUCCAGACUGCUUUGCUUGAGGCCGGGAGAGGCGAGUGGAAUUCCCAGUGUAGCGGUGAAAUGCGUAGAUAUCUGGAGGAACACCGGUGGCGAAGGCGGCAUCCUGGACCAACACUGACACUGAGGAGCGAAAGCCAGGGGAGCAAACGGG
Molecule: ribosomal RNA, 253 nt
Filed under: uncultured bacterium
Lineage: Bacteria
Description: partial 16S ribosomal RNA
Rfam family: Bacterial small subunit ribosomal RNA
Source: RNAcentral